RNAcentral lists this transfer RNA (76 nucleotides) under Candidatus Pelagibacteraceae bacterium. RNAcentral describes it as "tRNA-Thr". It matches the Rfam family "tRNA". Rfam says of the family: Transfer RNA (tRNA) molecules are approximately 80 nucleotides in length. Their secondary structure includes four short double-helical elements and three loops (D, anti-codon, and T loops). The record is from RNAcentral. Lineage: Bacteria; Pseudomonadati; Pseudomonadota; Alphaproteobacteria; Candidatus Pelagibacterales; Candidatus Pelagibacteraceae.
GCCCACAUAGCUCAGUUGGUAGAGCACGUCCAUGGUAAGGACGGGGUCGUCAGUUCGAUUCUGGCUGUGGGCACCA